GGGUAUGUGGCUCAGUGGUAGAGUGCUUUUCUGGCAUGCAUGAGGCCUUGGGUUUGAUUCCCUGCACCCU
This 70-nucleotide transfer RNA is filed under the name Ictidomys tridecemlineatus (thirteen-lined ground squirrel). RNAcentral describes it as "Spermophilus tridecemlineatus (thirteen-lined ground squirrel) tRNA". It matches the Rfam family "tRNA". Rfam says of the family: Transfer RNA (tRNA) molecules are approximately 80 nucleotides in length. The record is from Rfam by way of RNAcentral. Lineage: Eukaryota; Metazoa; Chordata; Mammalia; Rodentia; Sciuridae.